AGUGAACGCUGGCGGUAGGCCUAACACAUGCAAGUCGAACGGCAGCACAGUAAGAGCUUGCUCUUACGGGUGGCGAGUGGCGGACGGGUGAGGAAUACAUCGGAAUCUACUUUUUCGUGGGGGAUAACGUAGGGAAACUUACGCUAAUACCGCAUACGACCUACGGGUGAAAGCAGGGGAUCUUCGGACCUUGCGCGAUUGAAUGAGCCGAUGUCGGAUUAGCUAGUUGGCGGGGUAAAGGCCCACCAAGGCGACGAUCCGUAGCUGGUCUGAGAGGAUGAAGAGCCACACUGAAAGUGAGAGACGGUCCAGACUCCUACGGGAGGCAGCAGUGGGGAAUAUUGGACAAUGGGGGCAAGCCUGAUCCAGCCAUACCGCGUGGGUGAAGAAGGCCUUCGGGUUGUAAAGCCCUUUUGUUGGGAAAGAAAAGCAGCAGGUUAAUACCCCGCUGUUCUGACGGUACCCAAAGAAUAAGCACCGGCUAACUUCGUG
RNAcentral lists this ribosomal RNA (492 nucleotides) under uncultured bacterium. RNAcentral describes it as "partial 16S ribosomal RNA". It matches the Rfam family "Bacterial small subunit ribosomal RNA", at positions 29 to 507 of the family's 1533-position model. The record is from RNAcentral.